Molecule: long non-coding RNA, 794 nt
Organism: Oncorhynchus tshawytscha (Chinook salmon)
Lineage: Eukaryota; Metazoa; Chordata; Actinopteri; Salmoniformes; Salmonidae
Exons: 4
Source: RefSeq, a predicted model, not a curated record
GGAUCUUUGCAAACACAAUCACGUUCUUAAAUGGAAAUGCGGGGCUUUAAACAAAUCUUACAUCUCUCCUGUUCCAGUCGCCUAAAAGUCCGCAAUCAGGCGCAUGUUCCACUCCUUCUAAAACCGAAGCUUUUUGCUACAGUGGGACGCAUUUUACGAUUUAUUCAUUUCAAUCCCUGGACUAGAGCACGAUUUAACGAGUUCCAAACCUUCCAUCUAACUCCGUGACGGGCUUGAAAGCAUCAGGCUUGGGAUGCCUAAGCCCCUUCUCAGCUUCUGUCUACCUGUCUGCUGGGGUGUUGGUGCCUGGGCUUCAACCAUCAGCCCUAACCUGUGUGGCUUCCUGUCCGUCCACAGAGGGACCCAAUCCUCUACUUUGAAUUCAAAGGGGCCUGAAGACAACACAGCCUCACGCAGGCUCAGCAACACGCAGGUUACGACCCCAACAGGACAUACCACGCCACCCGGCGGGCUGAGUUGUUACGCACUACACGUAGGUGUGUGUGUGUAAGCCACAGGAGGUUGGUGACACCUUAAUUGGGGCGGAUGGGCUUGUGGUUAGAGCUGGAGCAGAAUCAUGGUUUCCAUGUGUUUGAUGUGCUGAGCUGUCCUCCCCUCAGCAGCCUCCGCUGGUGUAAGCAUAUUGCCCCCUGCCGAAUGUCCAUCCGCCCUGCGUCUCCCCCUCAGCCCACCCAUCCUUCCUGUAAAAACUGACUAUGUAACAACAUACUAUGUGUGUGUUAAACAGAGAGCAGGACAGCAGGCAGAGAGAGAGAGAGAGAGAGAGAGAGAGA